AGUGAACGCUGGCGGCAGGCCUAAUACAUGCAAGUCGAACGGCAGCACAGUGGAGCUUGCUCCAUGGGUGGCGAGUGGCGGACGGGUGAGGAAUACAUGGGAAUCUGCCCAGUCGUGGGGGAUAACGUAUGGAAACGUACGCUAAUACCGCAUGCGCCCUUCGGGGGAAAGUCGGGGACCGCAAGGCCUGACGCGAUUGGAUGAGCCCAUGUUCGAUUAGCUAGUUGGCGGGGUAACGGCCCACCAAGGCGACGAUCGAUAGCUGGUCUGAGAGGAUGAUCAGCCACACUGGAACUGAGACACGGUCCAGACUCCUACGGGAGGCAGCAGUAGGGAAUCUUAGGCAAUGGACGAAAGUCUGACCUAGCGACGCCGCGUGAGGGAAGAAGGCCUUCGGGUUGUAAACCUCUGUCAUGGGGAAGAAGGAAGUGACGGUACCCCAAGAGGAAGCCCCUGCUAACUACGUGCCAGCAGCCGCGGUAAGGCUACGUAGA
RNAcentral lists this ribosomal RNA (494 nucleotides) under uncultured bacterium. RNAcentral describes it as "bacterial SSU rRNA". It matches the Rfam family "Bacterial small subunit ribosomal RNA", at positions 29 to 531 of the family's 1533-position model. The record is from RNAcentral.